This 1710-nucleotide unclassified non-coding RNA is filed under the name Hevea brasiliensis (rubber tree). Lineage: Eukaryota; Viridiplantae; Streptophyta; Magnoliopsida; Malpighiales; Euphorbiaceae. The record is from RNAcentral.
AAUAACAAAAUAACUUUUUCCAAACUACUUUUUUUAAAAGCAUAUAAAAUGGUGCUUUCAUUCAGAAAAGCAGUUUUGGCCCUCCAAACGCAAUGUCAACAGGCACUUGGCAAAACAUUAUGACCAUUAUCACUUUCACAUGAACCAGCAACUGUAACAAUCACUGAUAACAAAAUCGUCACACACAAGCAAUAAUAAGAAGAAGAAAACCUCUAUCCAGACAACAGCACUAGAAUAUGCACUGUACAAUGUAGGAUCAAUCCAUAAUUAAUCAAUACAGAAGUGCGUACAGUGAUGAGUGAUUCAGGGUCCAAAUUACAACGCUGUAUAAAAGCAGCCACUGCAGCAGGAUUUUGACCAGGGAGAACUUCAAGGACAUCACCAACUUCAUAUUUGAUUGCCUGUACACAAAGAGGAACAUGCCAAGAAGAGGACAACAAAUUUAACUCAUUCAAGAUAUAAUAAAAUUCAGAACAUGACAAGAAUGACUUACAGAUGAAACAAAUUCAAAUUCAAAAUGGCGCACAUCUCUUCCACAGCCUGCUCUAGUCAAUGGUUGAUUCUUUACCAUUUUAAGAAAGCAAUCAGGCUUGCUCUUGUCAUGAGAAAAUUUUCCGGGCAACAUUGAGCGAGCCCUUUCAAUUUGCAUUUGAAUACUUUUUAAAUCUGUAGCAGUAUAUAACUGUGAAUCCACCAUGUCAGUUUCAUAAUAGGUUAUUUGGAGUUUAGGUUGAUCGAUCAAUUUUGAUUCUGGAAUCACAAAAUCAGGACCUUUUGGGAAGAAUUUGGGAUUGACUUGAUGCAGUGCACGCCACAAGGAUGACAUCCAAGGAUCCAAUGCACCUUCAUACCCUGAUGGGUGCUGAUCAUCUCCCAAACCUCUUUCAACAAUGGCUGCUGCCCCAAGAUCUGAAAGUCUUCUGUCAAGCUUCUUUGCCACAAAAUUAUAUUUUUGGUAACCAGAAUCACCCAAUCCAAAAACAGCAUAAUGAACUCCUUCUAGCCAAUGCCUAGUAAGAUUUUUCUGCAGCAGGAACCUCCAAAAAUCCUUCAUGGAAUCUGGUGUGUCUCCCUGGCCGGUGGUAGAAACAACAAAAAUUACAGUGUCUUCUUGAGGUAAAGAAUUAGCAUUGAAUUCAUCCAUAGAACAAAGAGUGACAGGAGAGCCUCUGCGCUCAGCCUCACGGCCAAGUCGCUCAGCUGCAUCCAUAGCAUUUCCAGUUUGAGUUGCAUAUAGUAUCACCAACUUCUUAGGUUUCUCCUCCAUGACUUCUAUAGUUUCUUUGUUUUCCUCUUGUGCAGGAGGAGAUGUUGAUUAGGGUUUCUGCCUAAAGAGAAAACAGCAGUGUUUGUACUGCAAGUGAACAGAAUUUUUAAGGCAGUUGCCACUUGCGCUCUCUCUGUUGCCAGACAGACCCCAGUUUCGUCACUGCCACAAAGCUCUUCUUAGCAAUCUUGCUCCGGUUCAGCAGCACGAGGGUUUCUGGUGUCCACUUCUCUUUUCCAGUGUGAACUGUGAACAGUUGGCGUCUUCCUUUGGUUCUGCUUUGAACAAAACAGUCCGUGGAACUUUGUUCCACAAUCGACAAUCAAGGAGCUUAGCUUCGGACAGUCGACAAUAUGGCUUCGACAAUCUAGCUUCUGGGUGGGAAGAAAUACUCUGGGGGUAAAACAAUUGAAGGAAGAAAUAGGUUCGGGUUUGUACUUCGG